This 109-nucleotide ribosomal RNA is filed under the name Pteropus alecto (black flying fox). Lineage: Eukaryota; Metazoa; Chordata; Mammalia; Chiroptera; Pteropodidae. The record is from RNAcentral.
GUCUAUGGCCAUGCUACCCUGAUCCUGUCUGAUCUCAGAAGCUAAGCAGGGUCGGGCCUGCUUAGCACUUGGAUGGGAGAGUGCUUAGGAAGACCAGGUGCUGUAGACA